Molecule: small RNA, 126 nt
Filed under: Marmota monax (woodchuck)
Lineage: Eukaryota; Metazoa; Chordata; Mammalia; Rodentia; Sciuridae
Source: RNAcentral
GCUGGGGUGUGGUGGUGCAUGUCUGUAAUCCCAGCAGCUUUGGAGGCUGAGGCAGGAGGAUCUUAAGUUCAAAGCCAGCCUCAGCAAUAGCAAGGUGCUAAGCAACUCAGUGAGACCCUGUCUCUA